RNAcentral lists this long non-coding RNA (2159 nucleotides) under Homo sapiens (human). RNAcentral describes it as "HSALNT0331632". Lineage: Eukaryota; Metazoa; Chordata; Mammalia; Primates; Hominidae. The record is from RNAcentral.
GCCGCGCUCACUCCUCCCCCUCCCGACCUGGCGGCCGCCUCCCUCUCUUAUCUCGCUCCCCGCUCUCCAGGGUCUCCUCGCUCUUCAUUCCUCUCGCGGCCUCCUCCCCUUUCCCUCACUCACCCUCUUUCCAAUUGAGGGAUCACAGACUCACUCCGGUUCUGCCAGGGGGACGACCCCCACCCCUCGCAAAACUCGACCACCUCUGACUUCAUGAAAUAUUCUUUCUGUUUGCCCCCCGCAGCAAGCCCCGCGUCCCAUCCCAGGACCCAGCCCCGCCCCUCCGCGCCCCCUUCCUCCUCCUGGCCCGCCGGGCCGAGUGGUGCUGCUGCGGGUGCGGCUGCUCGGAGCCUCCCUGGCCGCCCUCCCCAGGGCCGAUACUGACUCCAUCUGUCAACUUCGUUUAGACUUUGCCGCCCUCAGCCACACGCCGGGGUGCCAGACGCCCAAAGGCGCAAAGUUAAGUCGUGUAGAGGAUUCUCGAACUCCUGCGAGGCCUUUCUAAAUGUGGACGGCGAGAACUCAGUGCUGGGGCCUGGGGGUGUCAGCGUGAUUGAGGAAAUGCUGGAAGAGCACCAGCCUGCACGCUGCAGAGGCCUCUUUAGAAACUUCACAUAACAGCAGAAGAUGCGGACGGGAACAGCAAUAGGAGGACGCGCGGAGGCGGGGGUUGGAGAGAGCAAGGUGGCCGGGAGUGGGAAUUUCACACCUCUCCUGGAGUCUGCUCUCCUUCCUAGGUCCAGAAACCCCCAGACCUCCGGGCCUGAACACCAGCCACCCAGUUCCCAGUGUUUAUUUGGAUAGAGUCUUCCGCUCUCCAAAGGCUUGUGUCCCGGUCAGGGCUCUUUUUAUAGCCACCUUCAUGAGAGAUCUCCCAGUAGCCCCAGAUCUCCUGGCCUGGGCGGUGGGCACGACUCGAUGACCCACUGGCCAGGUCUGAGGGUGCUUGAAGGGGGAAAAAGGGGUCCAAUCUACGAGACCCUCAAGCGAAGACCGGCCUCACCCCAUUUCCGCACUUCCCAAAUUGCCGGGCGCGGGUCCCCUCGGUUGCGAGACCAAAACCUUGGGAUGAUCCCAGGAGCCAGCCCAGCGGCCUGCAGGCCCCGAUCCCAGUGCGCAGGCCGCGGUACCAGGCGGAGCACCUCUUCGACUUCGCCUACAGCCCGCUGCGUUUAGGGGUGGCGAGUUGCGGGGUUGCGGGGAGUGAGUGGAGAGCAGAGGCGGCCCGCUUUGUCCAAAAGGCAGAGAGAAGGGGCUUAGGUUGGAACAGAGUCGGUCUGCGUCUCCCAACGGGGGAAGAAGGGGGGGCACCCAGCGGCUAAAGAAAAUAAGUCAGGAAGCCUGUACCGCAAGUAUUCCUGGAAGCAAGUGUGGGUGCCGGUGGCCCUCAGCAUGUUAACUUUUCGCCCACUGAUGCUGCUGGAAGGGACGUCCCCAUGCUUUAGGUCGCAGGACAGAGCUUGCAGAUGCCUUGGAAACCGGUAGGAGCCAAGCUGCGUCCUGGGAGACCCCCGAGCUCUGCACACCUUCCCUCCGCCCUCCCGGCUGUGGCAACGCUCGGGGGUCGUUUAGGGGUCCGCGUGCCUUUUGCUCCGCGGCCCCCGGCCUCGGAUCCCCUCCUCCCGCCCGCCUUCCCAGGCUGGGGAGAAAGAUGGCUAGGCCGCGCACACACGCUGGGCAGGGUUGGAGGGGCCGCGGGGCCCACCCAGGAGGCGCCCGCGGGGCCUGAAGAGGUCACUCCGGGCACUGCACGCGGGAGGGUGCGCGCCGAGGGCUACGGAAGACACCAGCCAAAGGCGCCCGGAGGUCGCCAGGCCGCGCCUGCGAUGCCCUCCAACCGAGACCAGAGGCUGGCCGGCUGCGGCCGCGCGGGGAAGCGCCCUGGAGGUCCCAACCCAGCCCGGGCAGGGCUUUCUUCUCCCGUCUGGCUGGUCUCCUCCCCGCUGCCCUCCCUUCCCCCAAAUAAAUAAAUAUUUCCGAGGGCGGCGAACUCGGCGGGGCGCCGGGUCCUGAGCGCCUGGGCGAUAGAUGAACUUCCUGGCGCAUCAAAACUCCCCUCUCGUCCUCCCCGCCGAGCUCAGGAUAUGGGGCGCGCUCGCUUCUCUUCAGAAAAGGAAACGUAGCUCUUCCAAAAAUAUAAAUCAGCUCUGACGUCCAAA